CCACGGGUGAGUAACGCGUAUCCAACCUGCCGUCUACUCUUGGACAGCCUUCUGAAAGGAAGAUUAAUACAAGAUGGCAUCAUGAGUCCGCAUGUUCACAUGAUUAAAGGUAUUCCGGUAGACGAUGGGGAUGCGUUCCAUUAGAUAGUAGGCGGGGUAACGGCCCACCUAGUCUUCGAUGGAUAGGGGUUCUGAGAGGAAGGUCCCCCACAUUGGUACUGAGACACGGCCCAA
Molecule: ribosomal RNA, 234 nt
Filed under: uncultured bacterium
Lineage: Bacteria
Description: partial 16S ribosomal RNA
Rfam family: Bacterial small subunit ribosomal RNA
Source: RNAcentral